RNAcentral lists this ribosomal RNA (460 nucleotides) under uncultured bacterium. RNAcentral describes it as "bacterial SSU rRNA". It matches the Rfam family "Bacterial small subunit ribosomal RNA", at positions 338 to 795 of the family's 1533-position model. The record is from RNAcentral.
CCUACGGGGGGCAGCAGUGAGGAAUAUUGGACAAUGGGCGAGAGCCUGAUCCAGCCAUGCCGCGUGCAGGAAGACUGCCCUAUGGGUUGUAAACUGCUUUUAUACGGGAAGAAACCCAUCUACGUGUAGAUGGCUGACGGUACCGUAAGAAUAAGCAUCGGCUAACUCCGUGCCAGCAGCCGCGGUAAUACGGAGGAUGCAAGCGUUAUCCGGAAUCAUUGGGUUUAAAGGGUCCGUAGGUGGAUAAUUAAGUCAGAGGUGAAAUCCUGCAGCUCAACUGUAGAAUUGCCUUUGAUACUGGUUAUCUUGAAUUAUUGUGAAGUGGUUAGAAUAUGUAGUGUAGCGGUGAAAUGCAUAGAUAUUACAUAGAAUACCAAUUGCGAAGGCAGAUCACUAACAAUAUAUUGACACUGAUGGACGAAAGCGUGGGGAGCGAACAGGAUUAGAUACCCCCGUAGUC